This 328-nucleotide ribosomal RNA is filed under the name uncultured eukaryote. Its description in RNAcentral is "partial 18S ribosomal RNA". It matches the Rfam family "Eukaryotic small subunit ribosomal RNA", at positions 1470 to 1796 of the family's 1831-position model. The record is from RNAcentral.
CCCUUAGAUGUUCUGGGCCGCACGCGCGCUACACUGACUGGUGCAACAAGUGUCGCUCCUUGGCCGAUAGGCCUGGGCAAUCUUUGAACGCCAGUCGUGAUGGGGAUAGAUUAUUGCAAUUAUUAAUCUUCAACGAGGAAUGCCUAGUAAGCGCAAGUCAUCAGCUUGCGUUGAUUACGUCCCUGCCCUUUGUACACACCGCCCGUCGCUCCUACCGAUUGAAUGGUCCGGUGAAGCGUUCGGACCGUGGCCUUUGGACGGUUCGCCGUCUGUUGGCUGCGGGAAGUUCGUUAAACCUUAUCAUUUAGAGGAAGGAGAAGUCGUAACA